Molecule: ribosomal RNA, 910 nt
Filed under: Staphylococcus succinus
Lineage: Bacteria; Bacillati; Bacillota; Bacilli; Caryophanales; Staphylococcaceae
Description: bacterial SSU rRNA
Rfam family: Bacterial small subunit ribosomal RNA
Source: RNAcentral
UGCAAGUCGAGCGAACGGAUAAGGAGCUUGCUCCUUUGAAGUUAGCGGCGGACGGGUGAGUAACACGUGGGUAACCUACCUAUAAGACUGGAAUAACUUCGGGAAACCGGAGCUAAUGCCGGAUAACAUAUAGAACCGCAUGGUUCUAUAGUGAAAGAUGGUUUUGCUAUCACUUAUAGAUGGACCCGCGCCGUAUUAGCUAGUUGGUAAGGUAAUGGCUUACCAAGGCGACGAUACGUAGCCGACCUGAGAGGGUGAUCGGCCAUACUGGAACUGAGACACGGUCCAGACUCCUACGGGAGGCAGCAGUAGGGAAUCUUCCGCAAUGGGCGAAAGCCUGACGGAGCAACGCCGCGUGAGUGAUGAAGGUUUUCGGAUCGUAAAACUCUGUUAUUAGGGAAGAACAAAUGCGUAAGUAACUGUGCGCAUCUUGACGGUACCUAAUCAGAAAGCCACGGCUAACUACGUGCCAGCAGCCGCGGUAAUACGUAGGUGGCAAGCGUUAUCCGGAAUUAUUGGGCGUAAAGCGCGCGUAGGCGGUUUCUUAAGUCUGAUGUGAAAGCCCACGGCUCAACCGUGGAGGGUCAUUGGAAACUGGGAAACUUGAGUGCAGAAGAGGAAAGUGGAAUUCCAUGUGUAGCGGUGAAAUGCGCAGAGAUAUGGAGGAACACCAGUGGCGAAGGCGACUUUCUGGUCUGUAACUGACGCUGAUGUGCGAAAGCGUGGGGAUCAAACAGGAUUAGAUACCCUGGUAGUCCACGCCGUAAACGAUGAGUGCUAAGUGUUAGGGGGUUUCCGCCCCUUAGUGCUGCAGCUAACGCAUUAAGCACUCCGCCUGGGGAGUACGACCGCAAGGUUGAAACUCAAAGGAAUUGACGGGGACCCGCACAAGCGGUGGAGCAUGUGGUUU